GUAAAAUAUCCCAUUUCUCCAUAAGCUAUCAACCUGUAUUUUUACAAGGUCUCGAGCAAAGUUGGCACCUGAAUUCCCAUUUCCAAGCUCUGUAAGCCAUUGAAAUAUGUGGCAUGACUAGUAAAGCCAAGCAAGUUCAAGAUGAUGACACCAGUAGUUGACUAACACCACACAAGCUAGCCCAACUCAAGGCUCUUGCUUAAGAUGAUAAGAAGAACCAAUAAUUACCUGCAAGGCUAGGCUAGUGGUGAUUAAUUAGCCUUGAAGUUUUGUCUCCCACUUCUCUCUUUUGUUUUUUUCUUUAAAGGGAAAAAAGCAAAUUAACAAAAUGAAGCCUAAAUUAAUUAUUAAUUUGUACAUUUGUAUGAAGUUCUGAAGGUGCAAUGUUAACUAUGGUACAAUAAUAACACAUGACGCUGAAAACAGAUUGGGAAAAAGUCCUAAACUGCUUUGGCAGUAAUAUUUAUGAGAAUUUGGCUUCAAGAAGCUGUAGGCAUGACAGCGUCAUCAUCCAAUAAUGCUUCAAGAUCAAUCAAGUCAUCAAACUCUGCUGUUGCUUCAGAAUUAUUAAUGCGAUCAUACAGAGUCUUAUUCUCCUGGAUCUCAGUAACCGCAUUUAGCAGCCGGCGGUAUUGAUCUCUUGCCUCAGGAUACUGAUGCAUGGAUUUCACCCUUGCAAGGGCUAUCUGUGAUCUUGCUUCUGUUUGCUUUCUGCCUUCUUUAAAGAAAUCAUAGUCAUCCUCCUUUGAUAAUGUAUCCUGUUUACUGGGACCCUCAAUAAGUGCUUCUGAUUUGAAUCCACGCAAACCACUUCGUUUUCGUCUCCAACGCAAGAUAACUUUCUCCACAAUUCCCACAGACCAUACUAUCUUUCUAUAGUUUUUCCUAACCUGGUGGCCUCUUACAUGGGCCUGAAUUUUAACAAUUCGCUGCCGGAUUAUCAAAAAUUCCUUUCUACCCUUCCAACUACGGAACUUGUUUUGAAUCCUUAUUGCAGCAGCAUGCACUGGCUCAUCUUGUUGUCCAGGCUUGAGUGCCUUAAACGCAACAGGUGAAAGAGCACGCUCAUGUGACAUCCAACUUUAUCAUCACCAAACUCUUUUAACAGCUUCGUUUGAAAUGACUGCACCCUGAAGACUUGGUGAAUAUGAACAGCAGCUUGAGUAGCAUUACAGAUAACAGCUAACGAGUCCUUUAGAGAAAGUCCAUGUGGUACGUCCCCAUCACCAGUUGCAGACGCACUAUGCUCUGGAACUAUCUGCACUGCUCUUGCCCCAGAAAUUCCUGCAACAUCACUAUACUGCUUAUCCAUAGUAAGAGAAGAAAGCUGAGCACUUAAUGCAGAUUCUGCGAGAUAACCAGCUAUUCCUUUGUGUCCAUUAGCAGAAGCUAGGUCAGCAGCUGUUCGGCUUGUAGGAUACUUGGGAGUUGGAUUUGUUAAUGCUCCAGGAGCUGCACCAAGAAAGACAAGGGAAACAACCGUGUGCUCUCUGAUAUUUAAGCCAAAACAACAGAACAAGAAAUGCACAAAUUGAAUGAGUAUUUGUAUAGGGUAAUUGCAGAAAAAAUUCUGAGGACUACCACUUUGCUAAAGUAGUUUGAUCCCUAGAUGUAAAAUUAAAACAUGAUGUUAACAAACGUGCACAAAUUCACACAAAUACAUUUUCCUUUCCCUUUUAUCGCUUCUGUAAACCAGAUUAUAACCUUCAAAUUUGCUAUAUAUAAGUGUGUCUUUUCAACAUGGUUUUAAUGUUUAAUAUCAUGAGAAAACAAAAUCCCCUGUCCACUAUGAGGUUUGUUACCAAACAUUUUUCCAAAGCAGUAUCUUUUGGCAUUCUUCUUGGUUUGGUUUGCAGCAUCCUCUUUUCCAUUCAUCAAAUAUUUUAUAUGCUAAUACAACAUCAUAAUCAAUGCUGAACCCCAGCCUGCAAUAUGAAUGUUUUGUGCAGUAAUCUAAGACAAUAAGAAAGGAUCAUAAUUCAAAACAACAUUUUCAUUUUGCUUACCUGCCACAAGAUGCUGCCCAAUGAAGUGCAGUCCAUCCAUUCACGUCAUGGAAAUUGAUACUUACACCUGCAAUUGUUGUGGGUUCAAGGAGCUGCCAAAUAUAGCACUCCUAGACCACCUUUGUCUAACACACUUGAGCCUUUUCCACCUUCAGCUGCCUUACGCAAAAGCCAAACAUGUAACCUGUCUUUGAGCAGCUUUUAAAGAAGUUCCUCCUUUACUUUAUCUGAGGAAACUCCUGCUUCUGAAGUAAGCUUUAACAUUUGUUCCCAUUCUUCAUUAUCCUCUUUAAGAAGUGAACUAAUUUUAUUGUUCAAUUGAGUAUUUUCGACUAUUUUUCUGGUGUUGCAUUCUGGAAGGGACAAUAAUUUUCCAAACCGCACGUGAAGAUCUACACUAAUAUUGCUGAGUCGGUAUUCAAAUUCAUGCACUUUGCUACAAGCUACUCUUUCUGAAAAAGUAACAUAAAAAGGAACCAUGCCAGCCUUGUUUAAAGAGAGUCUGGCAACGAAGAAGACCAUCAGCUAUAACCUCUGCUCGAACUUCGAUUUCCCAAACACACAUGACCAUUUACAAUUUUCUGCUGCUUCACCACUCUUCAAGAAUCUUCCAGUGAUAAGAACCUGCAUAAAUUACAGAAUGAAUGAUAAAAGAAAAUUCUAAAAUGAGAAACAGAGAAGUUAUAUAUUAUCAUCAGCCAGAGAUUACAGCAUAGUUUAUCCCUCCUCAAUCCUGUCUAUGGGAAAAGACUGACAACCAGUACCUUAAUCUCAGAGCCUACAUAUGCCCAGUUAGGUGAAAUAUCAAUGAUGCUAAAGAGUUGAUCCUGGGAGAGGGAAGGACCUAGCACAUAGGUAUCCAAGUGCACUUUAGAAGGGACUUUGGGAUCAUCGAUCCCAUUUUCAUUUUCAACCACAUCCCAGUUGGGCCCAGAAAUGGACUGCACUUGUGACUCAUUUACAUCACCAAAUUCCUUACUCAUCCAUUGGUUGAAACUAUCAAACUUCUUUAGACCUUCUUCUGAUAGAGAAUAAUCUAAUAAAUGCUGCUUCACAGCAGCAGAGUAGACAGAUUUUCCUUCCAUGGUUAUACUUUGCUUUGUAUUGGAAUACUGUAUCUGAAGUUCUGAACAUCAUUUUGUACAGGAUGACCACUUCCCUGCCACACUUUCUGGAUUGGCAUAUGACUUGCAAACUCCUCCCUUUUACCAAAGCUGUUGGUAAGAAGCUGCUUCAGUAUUUCAUCUUCUUGUUUAGAAACAAUUCCUGCACUAUCGGGUUGUGAUGAAAAUGGGCGAUGGAAAGAUGCAGAUUCAGUUCCAUGAGUACAAUUUUCUAAGUUGUCCUCCCAAGAGGGUAAUUCAUAAUGUUCCUGUGGCUGAUAUGCUAACCCAGCACCCUUAUUGUCUUCAGCUUUAUCAGCUUGGGCCAGUGAGAUAAAGUCUCUCCCAGAAACAAUUGACAACGUCCCUUGAUAACUACUUGAAAAUGACACAGGAUCAUGACAAUUGAGCAGGCAAGCAUCAAUCUUUGCUCCUGCAGGCUGCUGUACCUCAAGAAAAGAGUGAAAUCCCGAACUUUCUGGUUGCUUAUAUACUGCAUUAAAUAUCAUAAUCCCUUGUAAAAGUAAGGGGGAAAAACAAGCCAUUCACCAUGAUUGGAGUUAAUACAUCCUUCAAACAAAAUACAUUAGAAAUUUCUUAUAUUAGAAACUGACACACAUAAAAUGUAUGUACAAGCACCUGAUUCAGCAUCCUCAUAUUCUGAUGCCUAAGCACUAUUCAUGCUUAUUAUAUCCAUAGUUUGCGAAGGCACCUGGUAGUUAUCACGAUGAAAAUUGGAAAAAACAGAAGUUUCCACCUCAGAAUCAGGUUAGUGUCUUCAAUCUCUUGGGGUUGGGGAUAUGGAAUGGCGUCUUCAUACUUCUUAACACAGUUAAAUUUUGCCCUGUUGCCCUGAUGAAAUAUUUAAAUCCAAAGCAGUUCAAAGUUCAAACUCAACAUGUGAAGAAGAUUAUCCUAAAUAAAUAAUUAUCAUAUCAAAGUUACAAGAAACAGAUACAGAUCCUAUAUCCUAAACUUUGCAACAUUUUUUUUCAUUGCAUUUCAUUAUUUUAGUUUUAUCAAUUUAAAAUUGGUCAUAAUUAUAUUGGAGUAACUUAUGCAGACAUGGAAUUUAAUUUGCAUGCUGUCAUGUAGGCCUAGCCCUGGUCCAGUUUGGACCUGGAACCGGCCCAGAGCUCAAGGGUCCAAACUGGAACAUUUUCCCUCUCCUCUUGAACAGGACCAUAACCAGGCUGGUCCAGUUCAAACCAACAUUUUUUCUUUAAAAAAAAAA
This 4343-nucleotide unclassified non-coding RNA is filed under the name Hevea brasiliensis (rubber tree). Lineage: Eukaryota; Viridiplantae; Streptophyta; Magnoliopsida; Malpighiales; Euphorbiaceae. The record is from RNAcentral.